Molecule: small RNA, 127 nt
Filed under: Marmota monax (woodchuck)
Lineage: Eukaryota; Metazoa; Chordata; Mammalia; Rodentia; Sciuridae
Source: RNAcentral
GCUGGGCACAGUGGUGCAUGCCUGUAAUCCCAGCAGCUUGGGAGGCUGAGGCAAGAGGAUCAGAAGUUCAAAGUCAGCCUCAGCAACUUAACAAGGCCCUAAGCAACUUAGUGAGACCCUGUCUUAA